UGGCGGACGGGUGAGUAAUGUCUGGGAAACUGCCUGAUGGAGGGGGAUAACUACUGGAAACGGUAGCUAAUACCGCAUAACGUCGCAAGACCAAAGGGGGGGACCUUAGGGCCUCUUGCCAUCGGAUGUGCCCAGAUGGGAUUAGCUUGUUGGUGGGGUAACGGCUCACCAAGGCGACGAUCCCUAGCUGGUCUGAGAGGAUGACCAGCCACACUGGAACUGAGACACGGUCCAG
This 235-nucleotide ribosomal RNA is filed under the name uncultured bacterium. RNAcentral's name for it is "partial 16S ribosomal RNA". It matches the Rfam family "Bacterial small subunit ribosomal RNA", at positions 96 to 334 of the family's 1533-position model. The record is from RNAcentral.